Molecule: transfer RNA, 91 nt
Filed under: Bradyrhizobium elkanii
Lineage: Bacteria; Pseudomonadati; Pseudomonadota; Alphaproteobacteria; Hyphomicrobiales; Nitrobacteraceae
Description: tRNA-Lys
Rfam family: tRNA
About the family: Transfer RNA (tRNA) molecules are approximately 80 nucleotides in length. Their secondary structure includes four short double-helical elements and three loops (D, anti-codon, and T loops). Further hydrogen bonds mediate the characteristic L-shaped molecular structure. tRNAs have two regions of fundamental functional importance: the anti-codon, which is responsible for specific mRNA codon recognition, and the 3' end, to which the tRNAs corresponding amino acid is attached (by aminoacyl-tRNA synthetases). tRNAs cope with the degeneracy of the genetic code in two manners: having more than one tRNA (with a specific anti-codon) for a particular amino acid; and 'wobble' base-pairing, i.e. permitting non-standard base-pairing at the 3rd anti-codon position.
Source: RNAcentral
GGACCGGUUACCGUAACGACGAACGGCCCGGACUUUUAAUCCGGCUGGCCUCACGGCCACAUCGGGGGUUUGAGUCCCUCCCGGUUCACCA